Molecule: ribosomal RNA, 140 nt
Filed under: uncultured bacterium
Lineage: Bacteria
Description: partial 16S ribosomal RNA
Rfam family: Bacterial small subunit ribosomal RNA
Source: RNAcentral
UGGGGAAUAUUGGGCAAUGGACGCAAGUCUGACCCCAGCAACGCCGCGUGAAGGAAGAAGGCUUUCGGGUUGUAAACUUCUUUUAAGGGGGAAGAGCAGAAGACGGUACCCCUUGAAUAAGCCACGGCUAACUACGUGCC